UACGGAGGGUGCGAGCGUUGUCCGGAAUCACUGGGCGUAAAGGGCGCGUAGGCGGCCUGAUAAGUAGGGGGUGAAAUCCUGCGGCUUAACCGCAGGGCUGCCUUCUAAACUGUCAGGCUUGAGCACAGUAGAGGCAGGUGGAGUUCCCGGUGUAGCGGUGGAAUGCGUAGAGAUCGGGAAGAACAUCAGUGGCGAAGGCGGCCUGCUGGGCUGUUGCUGACGCUGAGGCGCGACAGCGUGGGGAGCAAACAGG
RNAcentral lists this ribosomal RNA (253 nucleotides) under uncultured bacterium. RNAcentral's name for it is "partial 16S ribosomal RNA". It matches the Rfam family "Bacterial small subunit ribosomal RNA", at positions 524 to 776 of the family's 1533-position model. The record is from RNAcentral.